AUCGCGAGGAUCUUGGCGAUAUAGGGGAUCAAUGGAAGGUUCAGGAUCAGCAGAACCAGAUUGCCGAUGAACAUGGAGAUGAUGACCGCCCAGAACACCUCUGGCGUAUCGGUCAUCAGGCGCGGCCC
This 128-nucleotide non-coding RNA is filed under the name Marivita hallyeonensis. RNAcentral describes it as "Marivita sp. DPG-28 Ruegeria cis8 sRNA". It matches the Rfam family "Ruegeria cis8 sRNA". From Rfam's summary of the family: Cis-encoded. Targets hypothetical protein. The record is from Rfam by way of RNAcentral. Lineage: Bacteria; Pseudomonadati; Pseudomonadota; Alphaproteobacteria; Rhodobacterales; Roseobacteraceae.